GACAUUAGACGAAUCAUCUGGAAAGAUGAAUCAAAGAAGGUAAUAAUCCUGUAGUCGAAAAUGUUGUCUCUCUUGAGUGGAUCCUGAGUACGACGGAGCACGUGAAAUUCCGUCGGAAUCUGGGAGGACCAUCUCCUAAGGCUAAAUACUCUCUAGUGACCGAUAGUGAACCAGUACCGUGAGGGAAAGGUGAAAAGCACCCCGGAAGGGGAGUGAAAUAGAACCUGAAACCGUGUGCUUACAAGUAGUCAGAGCCCGUUAAUGGGUGAUGGCGUGCCUUUUGUAGAAUGAACCGGCGAGUUACGAUUUGAUGCAAGGUUAAGCAGUAAAUGUGGAGCCGUAGCGAAAGCGAGUCUGAAUAGGGCGUUUAGUAUUUGGUCGUAGACCCGAAACCAGGUGAUCUACCCUUGGUCAGGUUGAAGUUCAGGUAACACUGAAUGGAGGACCGAACCGACUUACGUUGAAAAGUGAGCGGAUGAACUGAGGGUAGCGGAGAAAUUCCAAUCGAACCUGGAGAUAGCUGGUUCUCUCCGAAAUAGCUUUAGGGCUAGCCUCAAGUGAUGAUUAUUGGAGGUAGAGCACUGUUUGGACGAGGGGCCCCUCUCGGGUUACCGAAUUCAGACAAACUCCGAAUGCCAAUUAAUUUAACUUGGGAGUCAGAACAUGGGUGAUAAGGUCCGUGUUCGAAAGGGAAACAGCCCAGACCACCAGCUAAGGUCCCAAAAUAUAUGUUAAGUGGAAAAGGAUGUGGCGUUGCCCAGACAACUAGGAUGUUGGCUUAGAAGCAGCCAUCAUUUAAAGAGUGCGUAAUAGCUCACUAGUCGAGUGACACUGCGCCGAAAAUGUACCGGGGCUAAACAUAUUACCGAAGCUGUGGAUUGUCCUUUGGACAAUGGUAGGAGAGCGUUCUAAGGGC
RNAcentral lists this ribosomal RNA (916 nucleotides) under Staphylococcus aureus. RNAcentral's name for it is "partial 23S ribosomal RNA". It matches the Rfam family "Bacterial large subunit ribosomal RNA", at positions 325 to 1248 of the family's 2925-position model. Lineage: Bacteria; Bacillati; Bacillota; Bacilli; Caryophanales; Staphylococcaceae. The record is from RNAcentral.